GACGUAGGGCGCAAGCGUUGUCCGGAUUUAUUGGGCGUAAAGAGCUCGUAGGCGGCUUGUCGCGUCUGCUGUGAAAACUGGAGGCUCAACCUCCAGCCUGCAGUGGGUACGGGCAGACUAGAGUGCGGUAGGGGAGAUUGGAAUUCCUGGUGUAGCGGUGGAAUGCGCAGAUAUCAGGAGGAACACCAAUGGCGAAGGCAGAUCUCUGGGCCGUAACUGACGCUGAGGAGCGAAAGCAUGGGGAGCGAACAGG
This 253-nucleotide ribosomal RNA is filed under the name uncultured bacterium. RNAcentral's name for it is "partial 16S ribosomal RNA". It matches the Rfam family "Bacterial small subunit ribosomal RNA", at positions 524 to 776 of the family's 1533-position model. The record is from RNAcentral.